GGAGAUGUGUGAACUCAGCUUCUGAAUCUGCCAAUUCUUGAUGCAGUUGAGCUCUGGAGAUGUUUGCAUUGUCAACCUUCUUUCUGUAAACGUCCAGGCACUCCUGUUCGAUGUCCAAUCCCAUAUGAAAAGAUCAGCUACCAACUGGAGGGAACUCAAGUCUGGAGCUCGUGUUUCUCUGAAUUCUUAAUGAGGAGCUCAAAAAAUCAAAUAUCAUUUGUCCGCAAAGACUCAAUGAAGAGGAGGUUGUUUUGGAAGAUCUCGACUCAAGUGUAGUUAUGAUAUAGACUUGGACAGAGAGUAUGUUUUUCUUUGCAUGAUCGACCACCCAAGAAUGCUCAUGUUAUUUAAAUUUUGUUCCCUACAAGCUAACCCUUGUCCUCUAUCAAUUUAAAUUUUGUUUUUUAUGUUCAUAAUUGUCCUUUUAAUUUUGCAUUUGUCAAUCAUUUGACUCGUGCAUGUUAAAUUUUGUGAAC
This is a long non-coding RNA of Solanum lycopersicum (tomato), 476 nucleotides long. RefSeq lists it as uncharacterized. The record is from RefSeq and is a predicted model, not a curated record. NCBI's taxonomy places the organism in Eukaryota, Viridiplantae, Streptophyta, Magnoliopsida, Solanales, Solanaceae.